RNAcentral lists this ribosomal RNA (416 nucleotides) under uncultured soil bacterium. Its description in RNAcentral is "bacterial SSU rRNA". It matches the Rfam family "Bacterial small subunit ribosomal RNA", at positions 35 to 483 of the family's 1533-position model. The record is from RNAcentral.
GCUGGCGGCAUGCCUAACACAUGCAAGUCGAAUGUGAUUCACAGGCCUUCGGGUUUGGUGAAAGUGGCAGACGGGUGAGUAACGCGUGGGAACCUGCCCAAUGGUAGGGAAUAACCGCGGGAAACUGCGGCUAAUACCCUAUGACCCCUGCGGGGGAAAGAUUUAUCGCCAUUGGAGGGGCCCGCGUCGGAUUAGGUAGUUGGUAGGGUAACGGCCUACCAAGCCUUCGAUCCGUAGCUGGUCUGAGAGGAUGAUCAGCCACACUGGGACUGAGAUACGGCCCAGACUCCUACGGGAGGCAGCAGUGGGGAAUAUUGGACAAUGGGGGCAACCCUGAUCCAGCAAUGCCGCGUGAGUGAUGAAGGCCUUCGGGUUGUAAAGCUCUUUCGGCGGGGAAGAUGAUGACGGUACCCGCA